UCUAUAAGAAAAUAAAUCUUCCUUAUGCAUGUCUCUUACGCAAAUCUUACAGGAUUCCUAGAAACACUGCUGAAUACUACUUGCACAACGCCAGUAAUCAUUUGGGAUUCCCUUAGUACAUUGAAAUCAGUAGCAAUCCAAACGAUUCACGCACAGAAUGAAGCUCUGCUGGUGUGUGCCAAUUCGGCAUUGCUGUGGGACGCCAUGUGCACUCACUGGCCGUUACCAUAUAGGAGAGAUAUCUUAUGUACAGGAAGGGAUGGAUCUUUGACCUCCUAGCAAACGUACAUGAGCAACUUAGAAGCAGAAUCAUCAUGGUAUUGUGGUGCAGCUGGCACCUCCGCAAUGAAUUAGAGCACGGUAAAUCUAUUCCUCCCUUGGAGGUUUCGUGCUCCUUCUUGGUCAGCUACUACAAUUCCUACAGCUAGAUUUCCCUGUCAGUGGAAGAAAUCAUCAAGGGUAAAGCCCCGUUAAUGUUGAACCCACCGGGGACUCAAGAGCAACCGCAGCCUAAUACAAUACCAAAGCGGUGGCCAAGACCUCCUGCGGGCGUAUUAGCAUUAUCAGUGGAUGGGUCUUAUAAUGGCUCAGAUGGUUCGGCGGGUUCCGGCAUGAUAUUGAGAGAUGAUAAAGGUGGGGUGAUCUUCGCUGCGUAUCGUAAAAUUUUCAAUUGUAACGAAGCCCUUGAGGCCGAACUACAAGCUAUGGCAGAGGGACUCAAGUUGGCGGCCGAGCACUCUUCGGCUAAUAUUCUUUUGCAGUCGGAUUGCUCCUUAGCACUCAAGGCACUGUCGGAUGACUCCUUGGAUAGGUCCAUGCAUGGUCAUCUGGUUAGAACUGUUAAGGGGUACUUGAAGGAUAGGGUUGUUAUUCCAGUUAAAUUCAUAGAGAGCAAAACAGGGUUGCAGAUUCGUCAGCGAAUUAUGAUAGAUGUGGGAAUAGCACAUCAUGUUGGCUGAGAUGCUCUCUACCGUGUGUCAGCGUGCUUAUCGCUGAGGAUUGUAAACCUGUAACUUUGGAGUAAUAAACCCUAUGUAUCUGCGCAAAAAAAAAAGAAUGAAGCAUCAGCCCAAACAUUUAAUCUCCAGCAACUGCAUCACAAAAGAUGUAUUCUUUCCAAAUAAGAAAAGGCGGGCACACGAUUGAUUCGGCCCACCGGACACUGAUGACAAGGCUAGCAGCACGGGCAUGUGAACAACCUGCAAUAGCAAGAACCGAGACGUUAGCAGAUCGCCCAGGGCACCUCUGGUGGCGACGGCGCGCUCAGCCUAGCCUCCUCCCAUUGAUGGCGCGACGGCUCUCUUCUCCGAGCGGAGCAGCGGCAGCAUUCUCUUCUGAAGAAGAUUAAGACAUUGAGGAGGACUGGGAUAUGACUCAUAGGAGCAAGCGAUAAAAAAGAGAUUAGGAUGAGAAGGUCACCUUCAGUCCCUUGAUCCAUCUGCUACUUGAGGCCCAACG
This 1458-nucleotide long non-coding RNA is filed under the name Triticum aestivum (bread wheat). RNAcentral describes it as "long non-coding RNA (TAES_LNC021506)". The record is from RNAcentral. Lineage: Eukaryota; Viridiplantae; Streptophyta; Magnoliopsida; Poales; Poaceae.